This 449-nucleotide ribosomal RNA is filed under the name Pimelia scabrosa. RNAcentral's name for it is "partial large subunit ribosomal RNA". The stretch from base 325 to 449 matches the Rfam family "Bacterial large subunit ribosomal RNA", at positions 2473 to 2597 of the family's 2925-position model. Lineage: Eukaryota; Metazoa; Arthropoda; Insecta; Coleoptera; Tenebrionidae. The record is from RNAcentral.
UUUUGACUGUGCAAAGGUAGCAUAAUCAUUAGUUUUUUAAUUGAAAGCUGGAAUGAAAGGUUUGAUGAGAAAAUAACUGUCUCUAUAUAAAUGGUUUAUAAUUUCAUUUUUAAGUCAAAAAGCUUAAAUUUUUUAUAAAGACGAGAAGACCCUAUAGAGUUUUAUAUUUAUCUAAUUUUGGUGGCUGAGGAUUUUAUUCUUUUGAUUUUAGUUGAGUAUUUCGUUGGGGCGAUGGAAAAAUUUAAUUAACUUUUUUUUGUUUUUAACAUUAAUUUAUGAAUAUUUGAUCCUUAUUUUUGGAUUAUAAGAUUAAAUUACCUUAGGGAUAACAGCGUAAUUUUUUUUGGAGAGUUCUUAUCGAUAAAAAAGUUUGCGACCUCGAUGUUGGAUUAAAAUUAAAUUUUGGUGUAGAAGCUAGAAUUUUAGGUCUGUUCGACCUUUGAAAUUUU